This is a long non-coding RNA of Colius striatus (speckled mousebird), 3195 nucleotides long. RefSeq lists it as uncharacterized. The transcript is spliced from 2 exons. The record is from RefSeq and is a predicted model, not a curated record. NCBI's taxonomy places the organism in Eukaryota, Metazoa, Chordata, Aves, Coliiformes, Coliidae.
UACGUUAUGGAUUAACAUUAAGAAUGUCUGCAGUGAAGCAGUACUUGUGUGGCUGUGUAAGACUUGCUUGGACAAUGUAACUUAUAUUACAGAAUCCGGAUUUUCCUCAUAUGCUUAAGAGUAAUAUAUCCAAUUACUGUAUAGUUCUGCCUAUUCUGUUGAUUUUCAAAAUCUUCAGUUAAUCUAACUGUCAGGUUUCACACAGCACUUAACAAAGGGCUAUUCAGGAAAUUAAGUCAUCUCUUUCAACAGAUAACGUGACCGAGGCAGCUUCGAAGCCUUUCUGAAGGAUCCACUUUCAUUCUACAGGCUGUUUAAUCUUUCUGUGGAGUUUCUAACUACGAACCUCAUUCUGCAGACUUCAGUUCUUGUGCUGUACAGGUGAGUAAGAAUUGCGCAGGCGAGCAAGAUGAGCCCUAAGUCAUUACUGGAGAAUGAAGGAAGGAAGAAUGCAUGGGUCACAAGAAGCAAAACAAAGGCUUUAUUUGUCCCUCUUUUACAAGCUGGGAGGAAGUAAAAGUAAUUACAGCUCAGUGGCUGGGAAGGAUGAUCCUUAUGGAUCCUUUGCAACUUGAGAUACUCCAUGAAUUCUAAGAUUCUGAGACUCGAAGAAAGGCUUAGUGAUAACUAGUUUGUCACCCAGGUCUCCUGCCUGCUAGGGCUCUCUCUUCCCCUCAAUACAUUUUACAGGUCUUUCUGCUUUCUCCUGGAAGGAGUCUCCAGCACCACAGAAAACCAAUGCUGCUCUGCAGUGUUAGAUUGCCUGAAUUCUUUCCCAAUGCAAGACACUUGUCCUGUGAGACGCAGAGCAGCUUGCAGAAGGGAGCUGAGGACAUCUUCCAGCACAGAGCUGCAGGACAGGGAGAGGCACUGCUGCACCCUGAAACCAUCUGGAAGAAACUGUAGUCUGUGCCAGUUAAUUCUGGAAGAGUCUGUCCUUGCCUUCACACUCCCAUUCUCCCUUGAAACCCAGGUUAUGGCCUUGCUUCUCCCUUGCACCUUCUGUUUCCAGUGAGAACCACAAUUCCCUCCAGUGUUUGGAGAGGAUACAAGGAUGCUUUGCAGCCCCCUGUUACACAGUUCAUCCAUGAAGGGGCCAGGAAGAACCUGUUCAGCUGGGAAACAAAACUUGAUAAGAAUAAAACUUUCCUUAGUUUGUUGCUCUUGCUGACCGUGUAUGGUAAGUACUCUGGCCUCUGCUUUGUGUGCACGUGCAACUCAGGGUAUUGGAAAUUACCUGUAAAGGGCACACAGUUACACACGGUUUGAACCUUAGUUCAUCCAAUGGAAAAAAAAAAUCUACCCCAUUUGUGAGGAUCUGUUUCCUCCAGAUCAGGUCUUACGACUUCAUUCUCUGUUUUCUUUUGUGGUUUCAUAUCCCUCUGAUGCUGUUUCCACCGGAGAGGCUUUCACAGCAUCUUGCUCACUGGUUCUCACAGGCAAACACUUGCGUACCCAUCUUCCCUGGUGCUGGCUAAGGGUUGAACUCAUGUUGCCUCUUGUAGAAAAGCUCAGAUACCUCCCCCUCUUCUCCCCCAGACACAUAUUUUCACUUGUAGAACUGGAAUUGCUACUUUUUGUCAAAUUUGGUUGAUAAUGGGUUAAAAUUAUGACUGACAUACACAUAGACACCUGCAGCAUGUGGGAUCACCCUAAUUUCUUGGGUUGGCAUGGCUAAAACUGAUUCUUUUAAGCUAUUGACUGAAACUAUAUGUUACCAGACAACCCAGUCUGUGAAACAAAAGAAUAUUAAAACCAGUAUGUAGCCUCAGUUAUUAAUCAUUUGAAGAGAGCUGGAAGUCACUGUUGCUGGUUCAGUGAUGUCACUGAACCAACAACAGUGACUUGUCACAUCAGGAAUGUGAUUCUGUGUGCUGUAUGUGCCAAUAACUAGAAGAAAAUCAGCUUGAAAACUGGGGAUAUAGUUGGAUGUGAGGCUAAAUGAGAUCCUCAUCCCACACAAAGCUCCACAUGGGCAAAUCUACCUUUGCAUGACAUGGGUGCAGGAAUUUGUGGGUAAGGACUUUACUGCUAUGGUGCCUUAGCUGUCAUUUUUAGCAUUUAGUGCUAUGCUAAAAAAAAAACCACCCAGAAAUCACGUUAGCAGAAUCAAAACUGCUGUUAGCAGAAUCAAAAUCACUUUUAUUUUCAGGGUCACUACACUCAGCAAUAUGUUACAGAAAAAGGACAAACCCACCGUGGAGCUGCCGAUAAUUCCUGAGUUGGUUUGACAUAUGCAGACUGCUGUCGACUUCAACAGGCUUAACACAUUUGUUUCUUUGGGAUUUCAGAUUAUUCAAAAUGCAAUUUUGUGAAGCUGCAUUGAUGAGGUUGCAUAUUGUGGGAUGUAGGCCUGGAGUUGCAGGCAUUGGGUUGCACAGGCGUCACAGCAGAAAGACUUCGGCUUUAGCCAGCAAUUCACCAUCAUUACGGCACGUAACCUCUUUAGGACUCUCAAGAUUUUUUACAUUUAUUAAAUUCUGUUUGUAAAAAAGAGUUUCCAAGCAAGCAGUAGCACUCCAAGUGAAGAUCUGGGAAAAUAAAUGACCAAAGCUAUGGUACUGCAACAGCUUUGGCAAACCUUUACAAAGUUUUGUAAAACAAACACAUGUGAUCAUCUACUCUCUGGGUAGGUCUUUACAUUAGAAGUUCAUACUUAACACGAAGGAGGAUUAAAAUGUUUCUCUGCAUAUUUGCUGAGCGCAUAUUGCUGAAUUAAGUGUUAUCCAUUGGCACAUGCAAACAUACAGUGGUUUUGUGGAACCUUUCUGCCUUCCUUGGUGUGUAUAACCAAGGGAAGAUGGAGACCAUUUCAGCCUGUAUUGUGAGCUUAAUAUUCAAAUGAGCUAGUUUUUCUGGAUCUCAAGAAUCACAGAAAGUAAAAUGAUUGUCUGGGGGACAUGAUAGUGGGUUCUGAUACCGGAGUGUUGUUUCAUUUGCCUUCAACACCAACCUUUGGUCUUCUUCUGUUUUUUAUGAACUAUGUGAGGUUUUCAUGUUCAGUUAAGAAUAGAGAUAUUGAAAACCACUAAAAUUUCACCCUGUUUUGGACCUGGGGCCUGAGGAGAGGGUGGUGAUGAUUGAAAACACUGGCACAUACCAAAUCAAAGUUAUACCAGAUUUGACUGAUUGUUUAACAGAUGGCUUUUUAACACUGUUAAAAGUAAUAAAGGAAACCACAGCAUUAUUCAUUAA